This 484-nucleotide ribosomal RNA is filed under the name uncultured bacterium. RNAcentral's name for it is "partial 16S ribosomal RNA". It matches the Rfam family "Bacterial small subunit ribosomal RNA", at positions 30 to 507 of the family's 1533-position model. The record is from RNAcentral.
AUUGAACGCUGGCGGCAGGCCUUACACAUGCAAGUCGAGCGGCUGCACGGAGCUAACCCUUGCGUUGAGCGGCGGACGGGUGAGUAAUGCCUCGGAACGUACCCUGUAGUGGGGGAUAACGUACCGAAACGGGGGCUAAUACCGCAUGAGCUCUGAGGGGGAAAGCGGGGGAUCUUCGGAGGCCUCGCGCUCAGAUAGCGCGAGGUCGGAUUAGCUAGUUGGUGGGGUAAAGGCCUACCAAGGCGACGCUCCGUAACUGGUCUGAGAGGAUGAUCAGUCACACUGGAACUGAGACACGGUCCAGACUCCUACGGGAGGCAGCAGUGGGGAAUAUUGGACAAUGGGCGAAAGCCUGAUCCAGCCAUGCCGCGUGUGUGAAGAAGGUCUUCGGAUUGUAAAGCACUUUAAGUUGGGAGGAAGGGCAGUAAGUUAAUACCUUGCUGUUUUGACGGUACCAACAGAAUAAGCACCGGCUAACUUCGUG